GAUGAAGAACGUAGUGAAAUGCGAUACGUAAUGUGAAUUGCAAAUUCAGUGAAUCAUCGAAUCUUUGAACGCACAUUGCGCCUCCUGGUAUUCCGGGAGGCAUGCCUGUUCGAGCGUCAUCAAAAACCUCAACCCAUGAUUUAUUGUGAGUUGGUUCUGCAUUGGACUCCUUGUGGGUCCUUUGCGAAAUCCAAUGGCGAAGAGCCACGCAACCAAAGCGUAGUAUAACUAUUUCGUUAUGGAAGCGUGGGUGCCUCUGCCGUAACCCCCUAUUUCUUAGUUUUUGACCUCGGAUCAGGUAGGGAUACCCGCUGAACUUAAGCAUAUCAAUAAGCGGAUGA
This 341-nucleotide unclassified non-coding RNA is filed under the name soil metagenome. RNAcentral describes it as "partial contains 5.8S ribosomal RNA, internal transcribed spacer 2, and large subunit ribosomal RNA". The stretch from base 1 to 119 matches the Rfam family "5.8S ribosomal RNA", at positions 35 to 154 of the family's 154-position model. The record is from RNAcentral.